Molecule: ribosomal RNA, 468 nt
Filed under: uncultured bacterium
Lineage: Bacteria
Description: partial 16S ribosomal RNA
Rfam family: Bacterial small subunit ribosomal RNA
Source: RNAcentral
GACGAACGCUGGCGGCGUGCUUAACACAUGCAAGUCGAACGGAAAGGCCCUGCUUUUGUGGGGUGCUCGAGUGGCGAACGGGUGAGUAACACGUGAGUAACCUGCCCUUGACUUUGGGAUAACUUCAGGAAACUGGGGCUAAUACCGGAUAGGAGCUCCUGCUGCAUGGUGGGGGUUGGAAAGUUUCGGCGGUUGGGGAUGGACUCGCGGCUUAUCAGCUUGUUGGUGGGGUAGUGGCUUACCAAGGCUUUGACGGGUAGCCGGCCUGAGAGGGUGACCGGCGACAUUGGGACUGAGAUACGGCCCAGACUCCGACGGGAGGCAGCAGUGGGGAGUAUUGCACGAUGGGCGGAAGCCUGAUGCAGCAACGCCGCGUGCGGGAUGACGGCCUUCGGGUUGUAAACCGCUUUCGCCUGUGACGAAGCGUGAGUGACGGUAAUGGGUAAAGAAGCACCGGCUAACUACGUG